CAGGGAAUCUUGCGCAAUGGGCGAAAGCCUGACGCAGCGACACCGCGUGGAGGAUGAAGGUCUUAGGAUCGUAAACUCCUUUUAUCAGGGAAGAGAAAGGACGGUACCUGAUGAAUAAGGAUCGGCUAACUACGUGCCAGCAGCCGCGGUAAUACGUAGGAUCCGAGCGUUGUCCGAAUUUACUGGGCGUAAAGAGCGCGUAGGCGGUUUGUUAAGUCUCAUGUGUAAUCUCCCGGCUCAACUGGGAGGGGUCAUGGGAUACUGGCAGACUUGAGGAUAGCAGAGGAAAGCGGAAUUCCCGGAGUAGUGGUGAAAUGCGUAGAUACCGGGAGGAACACCAGAGGCGAAGGCGGCUUUCUGGGCUAUUUCUGACGCUGAGGCGCGAAAGCGUGGGGAGCGAACCGG
RNAcentral lists this ribosomal RNA (405 nucleotides) under uncultured bacterium. Its description in RNAcentral is "bacterial SSU rRNA". It matches the Rfam family "Bacterial small subunit ribosomal RNA", at positions 355 to 776 of the family's 1533-position model. The record is from RNAcentral.